UACGGAGGGUGCAAGCGUUAUCCGGAUUCACUGGGUUUAAAGGGUGCGUAGGUGGGUUUGUAAGUCAGUGGUGAAAUCUCCAAGCUUAACUUGGAAACUGCCGUUGAUACUAUAAAUCUUGAAUGUUGUGGAGGUGAGCGGAAUAUGUCAUGUAGCGGUGAAAUGCUUAGAUAUGACAUAGAACACCAAUUGCGAAGGCAGCUCACUACACAAAGAUUGACACUGAGGCACGAAAGCGUGGGGAUCAAACAGG
RNAcentral lists this ribosomal RNA (253 nucleotides) under uncultured bacterium. RNAcentral describes it as "partial 16S ribosomal RNA". It matches the Rfam family "Bacterial small subunit ribosomal RNA", at positions 524 to 776 of the family's 1533-position model. The record is from RNAcentral.